RNAcentral lists this ribosomal RNA (143 nucleotides) under uncultured bacterium. RNAcentral describes it as "partial 16S ribosomal RNA". It matches the Rfam family "Bacterial small subunit ribosomal RNA", at positions 372 to 507 of the family's 1533-position model. The record is from RNAcentral.
UGGGGGAAACCCUGAUCCAGCAAUGCCGCGUGUGUGAAGAAGGCCUUCGGGUUGUAAAGCUCUUUCGGCAGGAACGAAAAGGUCUGCCCGAAUACGGCGGGCCCAUGACGGUACCGUAAGAAUAAGCACCGGCUAACUACGUG